GAACGCUGGCGGCGUGCCUAAUACAUGCAAGUGGAACGCAUUUAUAACUACCGUAGCUUGCUACAACUGCUAUAAAUGAGUCGCGAACGGGUGAGUAACGCGUAGGUAACCUACCUUUAAGCGGGGGAUAACUAUUGGAAACGAUAGCUAAUACCGCAUAAAAGGAGCUAACCCAUGUUAGCUUUUUAAAAGGUGCAACAGCAUCACUUAAAGAUGGACCUGCGUUGUAUUAGCUAGUUGGUAAGGUAACGGCUUACCAAGGCUUCGAUACAUAGCCGACCUGAGAGGGUGAUCGGCCACACUGGGACUGAGACACGGCCCAGACUCCUACGGGAGGCAGCAGUAGGGAAUCUUCGGCAAUGGGGGGAACCCUGACCGAGCAACGCCGCGUGAGUGAAGAAGGUUUUCGGAUCGUAAAGCUCUGUUAUAAGCGAAGAACAGGAGUAAGAGUGGAAAAUUUACUCUAUGACGGUAGCUUAUCAGAAAGGGACGGCUAAC
This 498-nucleotide ribosomal RNA is filed under the name Streptococcus sp. mare1. Its description in RNAcentral is "bacterial SSU rRNA". It matches the Rfam family "Bacterial small subunit ribosomal RNA", at positions 31 to 501 of the family's 1533-position model. Lineage: Bacteria; Bacillati; Bacillota; Bacilli; Lactobacillales; Streptococcaceae. The record is from RNAcentral.